This 1251-nucleotide long non-coding RNA is filed under the name Parus major (Great Tit). Its description in RNAcentral is "lncRNA (ENSPMJG00000003181.1)". The record is from RNAcentral. Lineage: Eukaryota; Metazoa; Chordata; Aves; Passeriformes; Paridae.
GGGAGGAGCAGGGGUUGAUCCUGGGGGGAUCCCAGAUCCCGGAGGAUCCCGGGAAAAGCAGGGAUUGGUUCAGGGGGGGAUCCCAAAAACCCCAGAUCCCAGGAGGAUCAGGGGUUGAUCCAGGGCAGAUCCCAAAUCUGGGAGGAGCAGGGAUUGGUUCAGGGCGGAUCCCAGGAGGACCCCGGGCGGAUCCCAGAGGAUCCCGGGCGGAUCCCGGGUGGAUCAGAGGUUGUUUCAGGGCGGAUCCCAGAUCCAGGUGGAUCCCGGAGGAUCCCAGGAGGACCCCGGGAAGAUCCCAGAGGAUCCCGGGCAGAUCCCGGGUGGAUCAGGGGUUGUUUCAGGGCGGAUCCCAGAUCUGGGCAGAUCCCGGAGGAUCCCAGGAGGAUCCUGGGAGGAUCCCGGGAGCAGCAGGGAUUGGUUCAGGGUGGAUCCCAGAUCCAGGGAGCAGCAGGGAUUGGUUCAGGGCGGAUCCCAGGAGGACCCUGGGCGGAUCCCAGAGGAUCCCGGGCAGAUCCCGGGUGGAUCAGAGGUUGGUUCAGGGCGGAUCCCAGGUCCAGGGAGCAGCAGGGAUUGGUUCAGGGUGGAUUCCGGCGGAUCCCGGGCGGAUCCCAGAGGAUCCCGGGUGGAUCAGGGGUUGUUUCAGGGCGGAUCCCAGAUCCAGGUGGAUCCCGGAGGAUCCCAGGAGGACCCCGGGAAGAUCCCAGAGGAUCCCGGGCGGAUCCCGGGUGGAUCAGGGGUUGUUUCAGGGCGGAUCCCAGAUCCGGGCAGAUCCCGGAGGAUCCCAGGAGGAUCCUGGGAGGAUCCAGGGAGCAGCAGGAAUUGGUUCAGGGUGGAUACAGGCGGAUCCCGGGCGGAUCCCGGAGGAUCCCGGGUGGAUCAGGGGUUGUUUCAGGGUGGAUCCCAGAUCCCAGGAGCAGCAGGGAUUGGUUCAGGGCGGAUCCCAGGAGAACCCCGGGCGGAUCCCAGAUGAUCCCGGGUGGAUCAGGGGUUGUUUCAGGGCGGAUCCCAGGUCCCGGUGGAUCCCAGAGGAUCCCGGGUGGAUCAGGGGUUGUUUCAGGGCGGAUCCCAGGUCCCGGUGGAUCCCAGAGGAUCCCGGGCGGAUCCCGGGUGGAUCCCGGGUGGAUCAGGGGUUGUUUCAGGGCGGAUCCCGGGUGGAUCCCAGAGGAUCCCGGGUGGAUCCCGGGUGGAUCAGGGGUUGUUUCAGGGUGGAUCCCAGAUCCCAGGCGGAUCCCGGAUCCCAGAGGAUCCCGG